GAUGAAGAACGUAGCGAAAUGCGAUAAGUAAUGUGAAUUGCAGAAUUCAGUGAAUCAUCGAAUCUUUGAACGCACAUUGCGCCCGCCAGUAUUCUGGCGGGCAUGCCUGUUCGAGCGUCAUUACAACCCUCAGGCCCCCGGGCCUGGCGUUGGGGAUCGGCGGAGCCCCCCGUGGGCACACGCCGUCCCCCAAAUACAGUGGCGGUCCCGCCGCAGCUUCCAUCGCGUAGUAGCUAACACCUCGCGACUGGAGAGCGGCGCGGCCACGCCGUAAAACCCCCAACUCUUCUGAAGUUGACCUCGAAUCAGGUAGGAAUACCCGCUGAACUUAAGCAUAUCAAUAAGCGGAGGA
RNAcentral lists this unclassified non-coding RNA (352 nucleotides) under soil metagenome. Its description in RNAcentral is "partial contains 5.8S ribosomal RNA, internal transcribed spacer 2, and large subunit ribosomal RNA". The stretch from base 1 to 120 matches the Rfam family "5.8S ribosomal RNA", at positions 35 to 154 of the family's 154-position model. The record is from RNAcentral.